GUAGGGUGCGAGCGUUAAUCGGAAUUACUGGGCGUAAAGCGUGCGUAGGCGGUUCGUUAAGUUCGUUGUGAAAGCCCCGGGCUCAACCUGGGAAUGGCAAUGGAAACUGGCGGGCUGGAGUAUGGCAGAGGGGGGUGGAAUUCCGCGUGUAGCAGUGAAAUGCGUAGAGAUGCGGAGGAACACCGAUGGCGAAGGCAGCCCCCUGGGCCAAUACUGACGCUCAGGCACGAAAGCGUGGGGAGCAAACAGGAUUAGAUACCCUGGUAGUCCACGCCCUAAACGAUGCUCACUAGGUGUUGGGGAAGCGAUUCCUUGGUACCGUAGCUAACGCGUGAAGUGAGCCGCCUGGGGAGUACGGCC
RNAcentral lists this ribosomal RNA (360 nucleotides) under uncultured bacterium. Its description in RNAcentral is "bacterial SSU rRNA". It matches the Rfam family "Bacterial small subunit ribosomal RNA", at positions 527 to 887 of the family's 1533-position model. The record is from RNAcentral.